Molecule: ribosomal RNA, 520 nt
Filed under: uncultured bacterium
Lineage: Bacteria
Description: bacterial SSU rRNA
Rfam family: Bacterial small subunit ribosomal RNA
Source: RNAcentral
AGAGUUGAUCCUGGCUAGGACGAACGGCUGGCGGCGUGCCUAACACAUGCAAGUCGAGCGGAGACAUACGACGGAGUUGAAGUUUCGGAUGGAUAUGAAGAUGUAUGUUUAGCGGCGGACGGGUGAGUAACGCGUGAGCAACCUGUCCUCACAGGGGGAUAACACAGCGAAAGUUGUACUAAUACCGCAUAAGACCACAGCGGGACAUCCUGCAGGGGUCAAAGGAGCAAUCCGGUGAAGGGUGGGCUCGCGUCCGAUUAGCCAGUUGGCGGGGUAACGGCCCACCAAAGCGACGAUCGGUAGCCGACCUGAGAGGGUGAACGGCCACAUUGGAACUGAGAGACGGUCCAAACUCCUACGGGAGGCAGCAGUGGGGAAUAUUGGGCAAUGGGCGAAAGCCUGACCCAGCAACGCCGCGUGAGUGAAGAAGGCCUUCGGGUUGUAAAGCUCUGUUAUAGUUGACGAAGGAAGUGACGGUAGGCUAUAAGGAAGCCCCGGCUAACUACGUGCCAGCCGCAGC